UAACCCAACGGAGGAGCACCCGUGAAGAGUAGACGUCCAUCAGGGAAUCGGGGCGGAUCGAAAGGCUAGGGUGCCGAAGGGGAUGGGAGCCCCAGAUCCUGUCGCCCUGGGCAUACGGAGAAUAUCCGUAUGACUGUCACGGAGGAGUCCGUGGAGAGCCGGUGGGUUU
Molecule: non-coding RNA, 169 nt
Filed under: Mesotoga infera
Lineage: Bacteria; Thermotogati; Thermotogota; Thermotogae; Kosmotogales; Kosmotogaceae
Description: Lysine
Rfam family: Lysine riboswitch aptamer
About the family: Riboswitches are metabolite binding domains within certain messenger RNAs that serve as precision sensors for their corresponding targets.
Source: RNAcentral